This 1343-nucleotide ribosomal RNA is filed under the name uncultured bacterium. RNAcentral's name for it is "16S ribosomal RNA". It matches the Rfam family "Bacterial small subunit ribosomal RNA", at positions 28 to 1378 of the family's 1533-position model. The record is from RNAcentral.
GACGAACGCUGGCUGCGUGCUUAACACAUGCAAGUCGAACGGAAAGGCCCUGCUUUUGUGGGGUGCUCGAGUGGCGAACGGGUGAGUAACACGUGAGUAACCUGCCCUUGACUUUGGGAUAACUUCAGGAAACUGGGGCUAAUACCGGAUAGGAGCUCCUGCUGCAUGGUGGGGGUUGGAAAGUUUCGGCGGUUGGGGAUGGACUCGCGGCUUAUCAGCUUGUUGGUGGGGUAGUGGCUUACCAAGGCUUUGACGGGUAGCCGGCCUGAGAGGGUGACCGGCCACAUUGGGACUGAGAUACGGCCCAGACUCCUACGGGAGGCAGCAGUGGGGAAUAUUGCACAAUGGGCGGAAGCCUGAUGCAGCAACGCCGCGUGCGGGAUGACGGCCUUCGGGUUGUAAACCGCUUUCGCCUGUGACGAAGCGUGAGUGACGGUAAUGGGUAAAGAAGCACCGGCUAACUACGUGCCAGCAGCCGCGGUGAUACGUAGGGUGCGAGCGCUGUCCGGAUUUAUUGGGCGUAAAGGGCUCGUAGGUGGUUGAUCGCGUCGGAAGUGUAAUCUUGGGGCUUAACCCUGAGCGUGCUUUCGAUACGGGUUGACUUGAGGAAGGUAGGGGAGAAUGGAAUUCCUGGUGGAGCGGUGGAAUGCGCAGAUAUCAGGAGGAACACCAGUGGCGAAGGCGGUUCUCUGGGCCUUUCCUGACGCUGAGGAGCGAAAGCGUGGGGAGCGAACAGGCUUAGAUACCCUGGUAGUCCACGCUGUAAACGGUGGGUACUAGGUGUGGGGUCCAUUCCACGGGUUCCGUGCCGUAGCUAACGCUUUAAGUACCCCGCCUGGGGAGUACGGCCGCAAGGCUAAAACUCAAAGGAAUUGACGGGGCCCCGCACAAGCGGCGGAGCAUGCGGAUUAAUUCGAUGCAACGCGUAGAACCUUACCUGGGUUUGACAUGGAUCGGGAGUGCUCAGAGAUGGGUGUGCCUCUUUUGGGGUCGGUUCACAGGUGGUGCAUGGCUGUCGUCAGCUCGUAUCGUGAGAUGUUGGGUUAAGUCCCGCAACGAGCGCAACCCUUGUUCACUGUUGCCAGCACGUUAUGGUGGGGACUCAGUGGAGACCGCCGGGGUCAACUCGGAGGAAGGUGGGGAUGACGUCAAGUCAUCAUGCCCCUUAUGUCCAGGGCUUCACGCAUGCUACAAUGGCUGGUACAGAGAGUGGCGAGCCUGUGAGGGUGAGCGAAUCUCGGAAAGCCGGUCUCAGUUCGGAUUGGGGUCUGCAACUCGACCUCAUGAAGUCGGAGUCGCUAGUAAUCGCAGAUCAGCAACGCUGCGGUGAAUACGUUCCCGGG